This 253-nucleotide ribosomal RNA is filed under the name uncultured prokaryote. Its description in RNAcentral is "partial 16S ribosomal RNA". It matches the Rfam family "Bacterial small subunit ribosomal RNA", at positions 525 to 777 of the family's 1533-position model. The record is from RNAcentral.
ACGUAGGUGGCGAACGUUAUCCGGAGUGACUGGGUGUAAAGGGUCCGUAGGCGGGAGCCUAAGUCAGACGUGAAAUCCCCCGGCUUAACCUGGGAACUGCGUCUGAUACUGGACGGCUUGAGUAUGGGAGAGGGAUGUAGAAUUCCAGGUGUAGCGGUGAAAUGCGUAGAUAUCUGGAGGAAGACCGGUGGCGAAGGCGGCAUCCUGGACCAUUACUGACGCUGAGGCGAGAAAGCUAGGGGAGCAAACGGGA